UUAAGAGCUUAUGGUGAAUGCCUUGGCGUCAAGUGCCGAUGAAGGACGUGGGACACUGCGAUAAGCCCCGGGAAGCCGUGUACAGGCGUUGAUCCGGGGAUUUCCGAAUAGGGAAACCAACUGUUGCGAACCAACAGUGUCCUCUUGUUGAACACAUAGACUUGAGGAUGGGAACCUGGGGAACUGAAACAUCUAAGUACCCAGAGGAAAAGAUAUUAUUCCCCCAGUAGUGGCGAGCGAACGGGGAACAGCCCAAACCAAAUCUGUUUACAGAUUCGGGGUUGUAGGACCGGCAAUACGGAAGUUACAAAACAGUCAGUUAGCGGAAAGGUGUGGGAAAGCCUGCCAAAGAGGGUAAUAGCCCCGUAUGCGAAAAUUGAUUGUCUUCCGCCGUGUUCCUGAGUACUGCCGGGCACGCUAAUCCGGCAGGAAUCUAGGGAGUCCACUCUCUAAGGCUAAAUACACUUGACGACCGAUAGUGAACUAGUACCGUGAGGGAAAGGUGAAAAGUCCCCCUGUUAGGGGAGUGAAAUAGAACCUGAAACCAUAAGCUUACAAGCAGUCGAAGGGCUACGGCAAGUUGAGCCCCCUAGAAAUAGGGAUGUUCCUUGUCAUGCCUGACGGCGUGCCUCUUGGAGAAUGAGCCUGCGAGUUAAUUUCAGUGGCGAGGUUAAGGGAGUAACACCCGAAGCCGUAGCGAAAGCGAGUCUUAAUAGGGCGUACAGUCGCUGGAAUUAGGCCCGAAACCGAGUGAGCUACCCAUGGGCAGGGUGAAGCGAGUCUAAACACUCGUGGAGGCCCGAACUCACUAACGUUGCAAAGUUAGGAGAUGACCUGUGGGUAGAGGUGAUAUGCCAAUCGAACUCGGAGAUAGCUGGUUCUCCCCGAAAUAGCUUUAGGGCUAGCGUCAUGCGUUUAGAACUGGAGGUACAGCACUGAAUGGGCUAUGGGGCUUACAGCUUACAGAACCCAAUCAAACUCGGAAUGCCAGUUCUCCAUAGCAUGGCAGUCGGACUCCGGGAGAUGAGUUUCGGGGUCGAAAGGGAAACAGCCCAGACCAUCGGCUAAGGUCCUCAAAUCUAUGCUAAGUGGGAAACGAGGUGAGGUUACUGAAACAACCAGGAGGUUGGCUUAGAAGCAGCCACCCUUUAAAAAGUGCGUAACAGCUUACUGGUCUAGUGACUUCGCGCGGAAAACUUAACGGGGCUAAGCAUAGUACCGAAGCCAUGGGUCUCAACAUUUGUUGGGGCAGUAGGGGAGCGUUCUGUCAGCGGUGAAGGUCGAUCGUAAGGGCGACUGGAGCGGACAGAAGUGAGAAUGCAGGCAUGAGUAGCGUACAAAUAUGUGAGAACCAUAUUCGCCGUAUAUCUAAGGUUUCCGACGCCAGGUCAUUCCGCGUCGGGUUAGUCGAGUCCUUAGUCGAGGCCGAGAGGCGUAGGCGAUGGACAUCCGGUCAACAUUCCGGAACCGCUAGAAAGUGCGAUGGGAGGACGCAACGAGGUAGGCCAGCCCAUUAUUGGAUUUGGGUGCGAUCCAUCUAGGCGUUGAGACUGGUAGGUAAAUCCGCCGGUUGAGCUGAGGUGAGAGCGAGCCGUAAGGCAUAAGUGGUUGAGCCUUGUUGCCAAGAAAAGUCUCUAAGCAUAACUUUCUAGUGCUCGUACCGCAAACCGACACUGGUAGAUGGGUAGAGUAUACCAAGGCGAACGGGAGAACUCUCGUUAAGGAAUUAGGCAACAUGACCCCGUAACUUCGGGAGAAGGGGUACCCUCCUUUGUGUUAAAGCUUCGGAGGGUCGCAGUGAAAUGGCUCUGGUGACUGGUUAACAAAACCACAGGUCUCUGCUAAGCCGUAAGGCGAUGUAUAGGGGCUGACGCGUGCCCAGUGCCGGAAGGUUAAAGGGAGAGGUUAGCGCAAGCGAAGCUUUGAACUGAAGCCCCGGUGAACGGCGGCCGUAACUAUAACGGUCCUAAGGUAGCGAAAUUCCUUGUCGGGUAAGUUCCGACCCGCACGAACCGCGUAACAAUUAGAGCACUGUCUCGACGAGAGACCCGGUGAAAUUGAAAUGGCUGUGAAGAUGCGGCCUACCCGCAGCAGGACAAAAAGACCCCGUGGAGCUUUACUGCAACUUGGCAUUGUAUUUGGAUAUNNUGGGCAGUUUGACUGGGGCGGUCGCCUCCUAAAAGGUAACGGAGGCGCCCAAAGGUUCCCUCAGGUGGAAUGGAAACCCACCAUAGAGUGUAAAGGCAUAAGGGAGCUUGACUGUAAGGCCAACGCGCCGAACAGAGACGAAAGUCGGGCUUAGUGAUCCCACAAUACCGAGUGGAAGGGUUGUGGCUUACCGGAUAAAAGCUACCCCGGGGAUAACAGGCUGGUGAGAUCCAAGAGUUCACAUCGACGAUCUCGCUCGGCACCUCGAUGUCGGCUCAUCGCAUCCUGGGGCUGGACAAGGUCCCAAGGGUCGGGCUGUUCGCCCGUUAAAGCGGUACGCGAGCUGGGUUCAGACCGUCGUGAGACAGGUCGGUCUCUAUCCGCUGUGGGCGUAAGGGAUUUGAAGGGAGCUGCUCCUAGUACGAGAGGACCGGAGUGGACAGACCUCUAGUGUGCCAGUUGUUCCGCCAGGAGCAUCGCUGGGUAGCCAUGUCUGGCAGAGAUAACCGCUGAAAGCAUCUAAGUGGGAAACUCGCCCUAAGAUUAGAUCCCUG
Molecule: ribosomal RNA, 2702 nt
Filed under: groundwater metagenome
Description: bacterial LSU rRNA
Rfam family: Bacterial large subunit ribosomal RNA
Source: RNAcentral